This is a non-coding RNA of Triticum aestivum (bread wheat), 177 nucleotides long. The record is from Rfam. NCBI's taxonomy places the organism in Eukaryota, Viridiplantae, Streptophyta, Magnoliopsida, Poales, Poaceae.
ACAACUGGAGUACAAAAAACUAGAUGUAUAUCCUCUUAAUUGUAAACAAUCACAGAUUGAAUAACACUGCAGGAGUCCUUCAGCCAUAACCUUUGUGGUUUGGUCUAGGCUAGAAUCUCCAUUUGAACCUGGUUUAGUUCAGCUGUGUGCGUGAUUUUAACCGGGUCUCUGAGGGGU